Physella acuta is the source of this 287-nucleotide long non-coding RNA. RefSeq lists it as uncharacterized. The record is from RefSeq and is a predicted model, not a curated record. Lineage: Eukaryota; Metazoa; Mollusca; Gastropoda; Physidae.
GUUUCUUAUGUAAAAUGAAUGCCUGGGAGGAGUUUUACAUCACUUUUAUAACGGAAGGAAUUAUACAGAUAUGGACAUUUUUGUUACCUAUUUUAAUACCAGCAGCAAUAUUUGGUUUUAAAAAAGUUCUGGCAAAGUUCGACAUAGAUUUAUGGCAAUGGAAAUUUGAGUAUCAUCAAGACAACAAGGACACAGUAAAGAACAGCAGUACGGUAACACAGUCUUGUGAUAUUAUAGCAACUACAGCAGCUGUGCCAUCAACAGAUUCAGGCGUCAAAUUACAAAUG